GAUAUACUCCCUCCGUCCGAAAAUACUUGCCAUCAAAAUGAAUAAAAAAAGACAUAUCUAGAACUAAAAUACGUCUAGAUACAUCCCCUUUUAUCCAUUUUGAUGACAAGUAUUUACGGACGGAGGGAGUAGCAC
Triticum aestivum (bread wheat) is the source of this 135-nucleotide non-coding RNA. NCBI's taxonomy places the organism in Eukaryota, Viridiplantae, Streptophyta, Magnoliopsida, Poales, Poaceae. The record is from Rfam.